UCCCUGGUGGUCUAGUGGUUAGGACUUGGCGCUUUCACCGCUGCAGUCCAGGUUGAAUUCUUGGUCUGGGAA
RNAcentral lists this transfer RNA (72 nucleotides) under Sus scrofa (pig). It matches the Rfam family "tRNA". Rfam says of the family: Transfer RNA (tRNA) molecules are approximately 80 nucleotides in length. Their secondary structure includes four short double-helical elements and three loops (D, anti-codon, and T loops). Lineage: Eukaryota; Metazoa; Chordata; Mammalia; Artiodactyla; Suidae. The record is from Rfam by way of RNAcentral.